AUACUGCAGGUCGAGCGGACAGAAGGGAGCUUGCUCCCGGAUGUUAGCGGCGGACGGGUGAGUAACACGUGGGUAACCUGCCUGUAAGACUGGGAUAACUCCGGGAAACCGGAGCUAAUACCGGAUAGUUCCUUGAACCGCAUGGUUCAAGGAUGAAAGACGGUUUCGGCUGUCACUUACAGAUGGACCCGCGGCGCAUUAGCUAGUUGGUGGGGUAAUGGCUCACCAAGGCGACGAUGCGUAGCCGACCUGAGAGGGUGAUCGGCCACACUGGGACUGAGACACGGCCCAGACUCCUACGGGAGGCAGCAGUAGGGAAUCUUCCGCAAUGGACGAAAGUCUGACGGAGCAACGCCGCGUGAGUGAUGAAGGUUUUCGGAUCGUAAAGCUCUGUUGUUAGGGAAGAACAAGUGCGAGAGUAACUGCUCGCACCUUGACGGUACCUAACCAGAAAGCCACGGCUAACUACGUGCCAGCAGCCGCGGUAAUACGUAGGUGGCAAGCGUUGUCCGGAAUUAUUGGGCGUAAAGGGCUCGCAGGCGGUUUCUUAAGUCUGAUGUGAAAGCCCCCGGCUCAACCGGGGAGGGUCAUUGGAAACUGGGAAACUUGAGUGCAGAAGAGGAGAGUGGAAUUCCACGUGUAGCGGUGAAAUGCGUAGAGAUGUGGAGGAACACCAGUGGCGAAGGCGACUCUCUGGUCUGUAACUGACGCUGAGGAGCGAAAGCGUGGGGAGCGAACAGGAUUAGAUACCCUGGUAGUCCACGCCGUAA
This 770-nucleotide ribosomal RNA is filed under the name Bacillus safensis. RNAcentral's name for it is "bacterial SSU rRNA". It matches the Rfam family "Bacterial small subunit ribosomal RNA", at positions 51 to 805 of the family's 1533-position model. The record is from RNAcentral. Lineage: Bacteria; Bacillati; Bacillota; Bacilli; Caryophanales; Bacillaceae.